This 737-nucleotide ribosomal RNA is filed under the name uncultured Chloroflexota bacterium. Its description in RNAcentral is "bacterial SSU rRNA". It matches the Rfam family "Bacterial small subunit ribosomal RNA", at positions 562 to 1321 of the family's 1533-position model. The record is from RNAcentral. Lineage: Bacteria; Bacillati; Chloroflexota.
AAAGGGUACGUAGGCGGCUGGUCAAGUCUGGGGUCAAAGGCCACAGCUCAACUGUGGGAAGGCCCUGGAAACUGACCGGCUAGAGUAGGUAGGGGUUGCGGGAAUUCCCGGUGUAGCGGUGAAAUGCGUAGAGAUCGGGAAGAACACCUGAGGCGGAAGCGCGCAACUGGGCCUCAACUGACGCUGAGGUACGAAAGCUAGGGGAGCGAAUGGGAUUAGAUACCCGGGUAGUCCACGCCGUAAACGAUGACCACUCGGCGUGUGGCGACACUAAUUUCGCGGCGCGCCCUAGCUCACGCGAUAAGUGGUCCGCCUGGGAACUACGAGCGCAAGCUUAAAACUCAAAGGAAUUGGCGGGGGCCCGCACAAGCAGCGGAGCGUGUGGUUUAAUUCGACGCAACCCGCAGAACCUUACCCAGACUGGACAUGACGGGCAGACGGCGGAAACGUCGUCGCCUGCGGGGUCCGUCACAGGUGCUGCAUGGCUGUCGUCAGCUCGUGUCGUGAGAUGUUGGUCUAAGUCCCGCAACGCGCGCAACCCAUGCGGUUAGUUACCCGUGUCUAACCGGACUGCCCUUCGGGGAGGAAGGCGGGGAUGACGUCAAGUCCGCAUGGCCCUUACGUCUGGGGCGACACACACGCUACAAUGGCGCCGACAAUGCGUCGCUCCCGCGCAAGCGGAUGCUAAUCGCCAAACGGCGCCCCAGUGCAGAUCGGGGGCUGCAACUCGCCCCCGU